RNAcentral lists this ribosomal RNA (260 nucleotides) under uncultured bacterium. RNAcentral's name for it is "partial 16S ribosomal RNA". It matches the Rfam family "Bacterial small subunit ribosomal RNA", at positions 95 to 353 of the family's 1533-position model. The record is from RNAcentral.
CCGGCGCACGGGUGAGUGACACGUAUCCAACCUGCCGUCUACUCUUGGACAGCCUUCUGAAAGGAAGAUUAAUACAAGAUGGCAUCAUGAGUCCGCAUGUUCACAUGAUUAAAGGUAUUCCGGUAGACGAUGGGGAUGCGUUCCAUUAGAUAGUAGGCGGGGUAACGGCCCACCUAGUCUUCGAUGGAUAGGGGUUCUGAGAGGAAGGUCCCCCACAUUGGAACUGAGACACGGUCCAAACUCCUACGGGAGGCAGCAUG